RNAcentral lists this ribosomal RNA (631 nucleotides) under uncultured bacterium. Its description in RNAcentral is "bacterial SSU rRNA". The stretch from base 1 to 540 matches the Rfam family "Bacterial small subunit ribosomal RNA", at positions 338 to 873 of the family's 1533-position model. The record is from RNAcentral.
CCUACGGGAGGCAGCAGUGGGGAAUUUUGGACAAUGGGCGCAAGCCUGAUCCAGCAAUGCCGCGUGAGUGAAGAAGGCCUUCGGGUUGUAAAGCUCUUUUGUCAGGGAAGAAACGGUGAGCUCUAAUACAGUUUGCUAAUGACGGUACCUGAAGAAUAAGCACCGGCUAACUACGUGCCAGCAGCCGCGGUAAUACGUAGGGUGCAAGCGUUAAUCGGAAUUACUGGGCGUAAAGCGUGCGCAGGCGGUUUUGAAGUCUGUCGUGAAAUCCCCGGGCUCAACCUGGGAAUGGCGAUGGAGACUGCAAGGCUAGAGUUUGGCAGAGGGGGGUAGAAUUCCACGUGUAGCAGUGAAAUGCGUAGAUAUGUGGAGGAACACCGAUGGCGAAGGCAGCCCCCUGGGUCAAAACUGACGCUCAUGCACGAAAGCGUGGGGAGCAAACAGGAUUAGAUACCCUGGUAGUCCACGCCCUAAACGAUGUACUAAUAGUUGUCGGUACUUAAUGACUUGGUAACGCAGCUAACGCGUGAGUAGACCGCCGNGGAGGUACGGUCGCGAGAAGUUAAACGUAACAAAGUAGUAAGUUAGUACGGCGUGGACGUCGACCGACGGACGACGACGAGGGAGGAGG